RNAcentral lists this ribosomal RNA (211 nucleotides) under Staphylococcus argenteus. RNAcentral's name for it is "partial 16S ribosomal RNA". It matches the Rfam family "Bacterial small subunit ribosomal RNA", at positions 1 to 205 of the family's 1533-position model. Lineage: Bacteria; Bacillati; Bacillota; Bacilli; Caryophanales; Staphylococcaceae. The record is from RNAcentral.
UUUUAUGGAGAGUUUGAUCCUGGCUCAGGAUGAACGCUGGCGGCGUGCCUAAUACAUGCAAGUCGAGCGAACGGACGAGAAGCUUGCUUCUCUGAUGUUAGCGGCGGACGGGUGAGUAACACGUGGAUAACCUACCUAUAAGACUGGGAUAACUUCGGGAAACCGGAGCUAAUACCGGAUAAUAUUUUGAACCGCAUGGUUCAAAAGUGAA